GAGAAGAUAUUCAGGGAUCAUGUCUAUAGUUCGUCUCUAGAGAAGUUUCUCUGAUCAUGCAGAGCACCUGAAACCAUGAGGAACCAGAGCAUCCUCUCCUGACAUGAGGCUGGUUCUAGAUGUUGCUUUUGCAACUGCCUUUUACCGUUGAGGAUUGCUCUUCUCUUCCUUUGGGAGAGGGCGAGGGAGAGGAUGUGGUCUGAGAGGG
This is a small nucleolar RNA of Sorex araneus (European shrew), 208 nucleotides long. RefSeq annotates it as small nucleolar RNA U3. NCBI's taxonomy places the organism in Eukaryota, Metazoa, Chordata, Mammalia, Eulipotyphla, Soricidae. The transcript has a single exon. The record is from RefSeq and is a predicted model, not a curated record.